AACGAACGCUGGCGGCAUGCCUAACACAUGCAAGUCGAACGAGACCUUCGGGUCUAGUGGCGCACGGGUGCGUAACGCGUGGGAACCUGCCCUUAGGUUCGGAAUAACUCCCCGUAAGGGGUGCUAAUACCGGAUAAUGUCUUCGGACCAAAGAUUUAUCGCCUUUGGAUGGGCCCGCGUUGGAUUAGCUAGUUGGUAGGGUAAAAGCCUACCAAGGCGACGAUCCAUAGCUGGUCUGAGAGGAUGAUCAGCCACACUGGGACUGAGACACGGCCCAGAAUCCUACGGGAGGCAGCAGUGGGGAAUAUUGGACAAUGGGCGAAAGCCUGAUCCAGCAAUGCCGCGUGAGUGAUGAAGGCCUUAGGGUUGUAAAGCUCUUUUACACGGGAUGAUAAUGACAGUACCGGGAGAAUAAGCUCCGGCUAACUCCGUG
RNAcentral lists this ribosomal RNA (433 nucleotides) under uncultured bacterium. Its description in RNAcentral is "partial 16S ribosomal RNA". It matches the Rfam family "Bacterial small subunit ribosomal RNA", at positions 29 to 507 of the family's 1533-position model. The record is from RNAcentral.